UUAAAAUCGAUCCCUCCUUUCCUUCUCAUUCUCUUCUCUUCUCUUCUCUUCUCUUCUUCUUCUUCCUCUUUCCGUUCUCUGUUCCUAUGCUCUGAUCGAUUUAUGAGAUGAGAGUGAAUCCUAUUUGAGGGAAUCAUAUAUUCAAGAUGAUUAGAUGAAGAAGGUGACGGCGCUGAAAGUUAUUUGAGCUCGGGAGAAGGAGGAGUGGUGUUGUUGUAAUUGAUUUAGGGGUUUCUGGAGAGGAUUGAAUUUGUGAGAGUUUGAUGAUGAAGUCGAGCAUUAGAUGAUGGGUUUUCAUCAUUGAGAACAAAGUAGAAGAAUUAUGUACUAUUUUCAGUUGUUUCAAAUAUGAACUGAAGAGUUAGGGUUUGUAAAUUAAACAUUGGAUUCGUAUGGAAUAGGUAAGUUAAUUAGGUUGUUGAUGGAUGAAGAAUAGAAGGGUUGGGGUUUGAUUGCAGUUUUGAAGCUGUUUUAGAGAAGAUCAAUUGAAGAAUUAGGGUUCUGCAUGUUGUGUUGGAGUUCGAAUUGGGCAAGAUUGAGAAGAUUUAGAUAAAUUGAAGAUGGGUAUUGAAUGAUUAAGUGGAUUAGAGUUGAAAUACAGAUGGAAUCAAGACUUAAGUGAAGAAAGGUUAAUUCAGAGAUAAGUUGGGGUUUAUGUUCUUCCUUAAAACAUGAAUUAGGUUCUUGGUGGAAAUAAUUUGGUGAUUUAACAAUUCAGAGAACGUGAAUUGCUGGUUAUUUUGGAUGCAUUGAUUGUGGUGUUGAUUACUGGUGGUGGUAUGAAUGAAUUGGGGAUUGAAUAUCAGUUGAGUAUUGUGUUGCUGUUUAAGAGGACUGUGUAAUGGAAUUUCAGGUGGAGGUAUUGAGAUGUAGUUGAAGUUAAAUUUACUGGUAGAGACUCUGUUGGGUUAUAUAAGGAUGCUUGAGUUGAAGCAAUUGGUUGUUAAUGAUAUAUUGGGUAAACGAAAUGCAGGUGAUAAGGUUUUCGUUAUGCUGAUUGUCGCAGAACUGGAGUGGAGUUACAGUUCAAGUACUGGUGCAGGCAGUGUGUACAGGAUUUGGAAUUGAUUAGUUGCAAAAUAGAGUUGAGUGGGUAUUGCAGUUGGAGCGAGUGUCAUUGUACUACUGAGAAUGGUGAUUGUAGAGAUGUAGUUAGUGCUUGCAGUGGAAGCUUGCAACUUCUGCUCUUAUAAGUAGGCUAUGUUAUUUUGUAUAUCAAUUUUGAGUUAUAAGUUGAAUGAAUUAUUGCAAUGAAAAAGUUUAAGUUGAACUGA
Molecule: long non-coding RNA, 1274 nt
Organism: Papaver somniferum (opium poppy)
Lineage: Eukaryota; Viridiplantae; Streptophyta; Magnoliopsida; Ranunculales; Papaveraceae
Exons: 2
Source: RefSeq, a predicted model, not a curated record